Molecule: unclassified non-coding RNA, 1118 nt
Filed under: Leishmania donovani
Lineage: Eukaryota; Euglenozoa; Kinetoplastea; Trypanosomatida; Trypanosomatidae
Description: gene:LdHU3.21.0380(CDS-product:hypothetical_prote in_conserved)
Source: RNAcentral
AGAACCGCAACGAAUCGCACGUCACCGGGACACAAACUCGAACGAUGCGGCGCUCAACUGCAGCGCGCUCGGGCAGCUUCAUGGGGUGCUCUGCCUCGCCAUGGGCACGAUGGGCGGCGAAGGUGCAGCACCGCUGCAAAGCCUCGUCAUCCUCGACGUCGGCCACCAGAUCCCGCCCACACAACAACCUUCGCUCCAGCACGGUGGAGUCGACACCGUUCCAUGUGAAGCCCAACAUGUGUGUGCCUGUGUGGCAGCCCAGCGCCAAGUUCAUGAAGUACACGCCAGUCCGCUGGCUGUCAAACAACCUGUUCGCCAUCGCGACGUAUCAGCUGACGCUGGAGGUAGGCUUUACAGUUAUCUUUGGCAGUCUGCUGUAUGCGGACAAGAUGACUGCCCAAGGUGUGUGCGACGCGCUUGCGGCGUACCACUACCCCUUCGUCAACUGGAUCGACGUCGAGGGCGGUGUGUACACGGAGCCAGUGCGUGUGGGGCCUUUCACGCUAAACGCGCAGAAGAUGACGGCGCUGCACACGGGCCACAAUAUUGCCAGCGGUAUUCUGCCGGUGCAGGUGCUGCUGCUCGUGACAACGUUUGUGCCGGUGCAGCAUGCCUAUCGACUCUUGCGACACGCAGCACCGGCCACAACCAGUGCGUUGCACCCCGCUAGUGGUGUCGGAGGUGUCAAUGCAGCUGCAGCAGCUGCGGCAACGACGGCGCCACCCACCUCCGUGUCGGCAGGGGCACGGCGUGCGUCGUAUGCGCGCGCCACCAACGCAAAGAAGGCCUCGCCGGCCUGGCCCUAUUAUUGACACAAGCAGCUCGUCAUGAUGGCAGCACGCACAGAGACAUACUCGCUGACGCCGCCCAAAGUGCACGUCUGCUCCGGCACCUACGCAGAGGCAUUACAUGCGCACCACCACGCACGUGGUUUUGCUCCUCUUUCCGCACGUGUGUGGCACGGGCUACUUCUGAGGGUGCCUUUAGCGAUGCUGCGUCUCUUUCGCCGCUGAUGCCGUCGUUGCUGGCAGGGAUGAGGGCGGGGCACACCCCCUCCCCUCCUUCAUCCCCCAUCACGCGCGCACAAAUUAACACCCACGCAUGCGGCAGAGGAUGAU